Motacilla alba alba is the source of this 623-nucleotide non-coding RNA. NCBI's taxonomy places the organism in Eukaryota, Metazoa, Chordata, Aves, Passeriformes, Motacillidae. The record is from the annotation of a RefSeq genome assembly.
CCGGCGCUGCCCCGGCGAGGCGGGGCCGGGCGGGAGCGGCCCGAGCGCGGCUCCGCUCGGCUCCUGUGCGGCUGCCGCGGGGCCGGGGCCGGCAGCGAUGGUGGCCGCGCCGGGGCCGCGGCUGCUGGCCUUGGCCUUGGCCCUGUGGCCGGCAGGGCUCGGGGCACAGCCGAGGCUGCAGGAGGCCGGCGGAGGGCUGCGAGCGCCCGGGGACUCCGUCACCCUCUCCUGCCGCGGCUCCGGAUACCCGUUUAGGAGUCAUGGGAUUUAUUGGUACCGUCAGGCACUCGGAGGCAGCCUCGACAGUCACUGGCCAGGUGACCUUGGAGCAGCAACCCAGGGGAGUGACCGUGCAAGAGGGAAAUGAAGUCACCUUCCACUGCAGCAUGAAGGGACAUGCUAUGAGCAACUACUACAUGUACUGGUACCGUCAGGGCCCACAGGGCAAGGAAUGGAUUUCCACAGAUGGUUCUACAUAUGAAGGUUUUAAAGAUCGCUUUGAGGCAAGACUGGAGAGUUUCAAGAACAGCUACACACUGCAGCUCCUGGCAGCAGAGCAAGGGGAUGCAGCUACGUAUUACUGUAGAGCAGACACACCCUGGAGCAGCUGUGCAGCAGAGUGA